AUUGAACGCUGGCGGCAGGCUUAACACAUGCAAGUCGAGCGGGGUGAUGGUGCUUGCACUAUCACUUAGCGGCGGACGGGUGAGUAAUGCUUAGGAAUCUGCCUAUUAGUGGGGGACAACAUCUCGAAAGGGAUGCUAAUACCGCAUACGUCCUACGGGAGAAAGCAGGGGAUCACUUGUGACCUUGCGCUAAUAGAUGAGCCUAAGUCGGAUUAGCUAGUUGGUGGGGUAAAGGCCGACCAAGGCGACGAUCUGUAGCGGGUCUGAGAGGAUGAUCCGCCACACUGGGACUGAGACACGGCCCAGACUCCUACGGGAGGCAGCAGUGGGGAAUAUUGGACAAUGGGGAGAACCCUGAUCCAGCCAUGCCGCGUGUGUGAAGAAGGCCUUAUGGUUGUAAAGCACUUUAAGCGAGGAGGAGGCUCUUUUGGUUAAUACCCAAGAUGAGUGGACGUUACUCGCAGAAUAAGCACCGGCUAACUCUGUGCCAGCCGCCGCAGUAA
RNAcentral lists this ribosomal RNA (503 nucleotides) under uncultured bacterium. RNAcentral describes it as "partial 16S ribosomal RNA". It matches the Rfam family "Bacterial small subunit ribosomal RNA", at positions 30 to 523 of the family's 1533-position model. The record is from RNAcentral.